UGACGAGUUUGAUCCUGGCUCAGAGCGAACGCUGGCGGCAGGCUUAACACAUGCAAGUCGAGCGGGCCCUUCGGGGGUCAGCGGCAGACGGGUGAGUAACACGUGGGAACGUGCCCUUCGGUUCGGAAUAACGCAGGGAAACUUGCGCUAAUACCGGAUACGCCCUUUUGGGGAAAGGUUUACUGCCGAAGGAUCGGCCCGCGUCUGAUUAGCUAGUUGGUGAGGUAAUGGCUCACCAAGGCGACGAUCCUUAGCUGGUCUGAGAGGAUGAUCAGCCACACUGGGACUGAGACACGGCCCAGACUCCUAC
Molecule: ribosomal RNA, 310 nt
Filed under: uncultured Methylobacterium sp.
Lineage: Bacteria; Pseudomonadati; Pseudomonadota; Alphaproteobacteria; Hyphomicrobiales; Methylobacteriaceae
Description: bacterial SSU rRNA
Rfam family: Bacterial small subunit ribosomal RNA
Source: RNAcentral